AGAGUUUGAUCCUGGCUCAGGACGAACGCUGGCGGCGUGCCUAAUACAUGCAAGUAGAACGCUGAAGAGAGGAGCUUGCUCUUCUUGGAUGAGUUGCGAACGGGUGAGUAACGCGUAGGUAACCUGCCUUGUAGCGGGGGAUAACUAUUGGAAACGAUAGCUAAUACCGCAUAACAAUGGAUGACACAUGUCAUUUAUUUGAAAGGGGCAAUUGUUCCACUACAAGAUGGACCUGCGUUGUAUUAGCUAGUAGGUGAGGUAAUGGCUCACCUAGGCGACGAUACAUAGCCGACCUGAGAGGGUGAUCGGCCACACUGGGACUGAGACACGGCCCAGACUCCUACGGGAGGCAGCAGUAGGGAAUCUUCGGCAAUGGGGGCAACCCUGACCGAGCAACGCCGCGUGAGUGAAGAAGGUUUUCGGAUCGUAAAGCUCUGUUGUAAGUCAAGAACGGGUGUGAGAGCGGAAAGUUCACACUGUGACGGUAGCUUACCAGAAAGGGACGGCUAACUACGUGCCAGCAGCCGCGGUAAUACGUAGGUCCCGAGCGUUGUCCGGAUUUAUUGGGCGUAAAGCGAGCGCAGGCGGUUUGAUAAGUCUGAAGUUAAAGGCUGUGGCUCAACCAUAGUUCGCUUUGGAAACUGUCAAACUUGAGUGCAGAAGGGGAGAGUGGAAUUCCAUGUGUAGCGGUGAAAUGCGUAGAUAUAUGGAGGAACACCGGUGGCGAAAGCGGCUCUCUGGUCUGUAACUGACGCUGAGGCUCGAAAGCGUGGGGAGCGAACAGGAUUAGAUACCCUGGUAGUCCACGCCGUAAACGAUGAGUGCUAGGUGUUGGAUCCUUUCCGGGAUUCAGUGCCGCAGCUAACGCAUUAAGCACUCCGCCUGGGGAGUACGACCGCAAGGUUGAAACUCAAAGGAAUUGACGGGGGCCCGCACAAGCGGUGGAGCAUGUGGUUUAAUUCGAAGCAACGCGAAGAACCUUACCAGGUCUUGACAUCCCGAUGCUAUUUCUAGAGAUAGAAAGUUACUUCGGUACAUCGGUGACAGGUGGUGCAUGGUUGUCGUCAGCUCGUGUCGUGAGAUGUUGGGUUAAGUCCCGCAACGAGCGCAACCCCUAUUGUUAGUUGCCAUCAUUCAGUUGGGCACCCUAGCGAGACUGCCGGUAAUAAACCGGAGGAAGGUGGGGAUGACGUCAAAUCAUCAUGCCCCUUAUGACCUGGGCUACACACGUGCUACAAUGGUUGGUACAACGAGUUGCGAGUCGGUGACGGCGAGCUAAUCUCUUAAAGCCAAUCUCAGUUCGGAUUGUAGGCUGCAACUCGCCUACAUGAAGUCGGAAUCGCUAGUAAUCGCGGAUCAGCACGCCGCGGUGAAUACGUUCCCGGGCCUUGUACACACCGCCCGUCACACCACGAGAGUUUGUAACACCCGAAGUCGGUGAGGUAACCUUUUGGAGCCAGCCGCCUAAGGUGGGACAGAUGAUUGGGGUGAAGUCGUAACAAGGUA
This 1506-nucleotide ribosomal RNA is filed under the name metagenome. RNAcentral's name for it is "bacterial SSU rRNA". It matches the Rfam family "Bacterial small subunit ribosomal RNA". The record is from RNAcentral.